This 558-nucleotide ribosomal RNA is filed under the name uncultured bacterium. RNAcentral describes it as "bacterial SSU rRNA". It matches the Rfam family "Bacterial small subunit ribosomal RNA", at positions 93 to 650 of the family's 1533-position model. The record is from RNAcentral.
UAGUGGCGCACGGGUGCGUAACACGUAUGCAACCUACCUAUUAUUGGGGGAUAGCCUUUGGAAACGGAGAUUAAUACCGCAUAAUACGAUUGACUGGCAUCGGUUGAUUGUUAAAGCUUUGGCGAUAAUAGAUGGGCAUGCGUCCAAUUAGUUAGUUGGUUAGGUAACGGCUGACCAAGACGAUGAUUGGUAGGGGAUCUGAGAGGAUAAUCCCCCACACUGGCACUGAGAUACGGGCCAGACUCCUACGGGAGGCAGCAGUAGGGAAUAUUGGGCAAUGGGCGGAAGCCUGGCCCAGCCAUGCCGCGUGCAGGAAGAAGGCGUUAUGCGUUGUAAACUGCUUUUUUAUAGGAAGAAGGAUCCCUUGCGAGGGAAGGUGACGGUACUAUAAGAAUAAGCACCGGCUAACUCCGUGCCAGCAGCCGCGGUAAUACGGAGGGUGCAAGCGUUGUCCGGAUUUAUUGGGUUUAAAGGGUGCGUAGGCGGUUUAUUAAGUCAGUGGUGAAAGACGGUCGCUCAACGAUUGCAGUGCCAUUGAUACUGGUAGACUUGAGUGAG